UGGGGAAUAUUGCACAAUGGGGGAAACCCUGAUGCAGCCAUGCCGCGUGUGUGAAGAAGGCCUUGGUUGUAAAGCACUUUCAGUUGUGAGGAAAGUUAGUAGU
RNAcentral lists this ribosomal RNA (103 nucleotides) under uncultured bacterium. Its description in RNAcentral is "partial 16S ribosomal RNA". It matches the Rfam family "Bacterial small subunit ribosomal RNA", at positions 355 to 459 of the family's 1533-position model. The record is from RNAcentral.